This 519-nucleotide long non-coding RNA is filed under the name Haliotis rubra (blacklip abalone). RNAcentral describes it as "uncharacterized LOC124268867, transcript variant X2". The record is from RNAcentral. Lineage: Eukaryota; Metazoa; Mollusca; Gastropoda; Lepetellida; Haliotidae.
GCAGUCUCGCACACGGAACUGUACCCAAUCUACCUGCUGCCCAACCGACUUUGCAUCAACUGAGACGAGAACAGUGGAGUGUGAGCUUUGUUCCUGUCCAGUUAUCGGUGCCUGGUGCCCAUGGGCUGAUAGUGGUCAGUGUUCGGUGACGUGCGGAGACGGAACAAAGAUACAGGCUCGCGAUCGGGAGUGUACAAAUACUUGCACGUGCUCUGACUGUGUUAAACACGAGGAGAGAACAGUCACUUGCAACUGUUACCCCUGCACUUCGACUUGGAACAGCUGGUCAGGAUCGGGACGGCCGAAUGGGAAGAAACGGCCUCGAAGAUGGAGACGGCCAAGGGGACGGAAACGAAACAGAUGGUCACGGAAAAGACGGCAUCGAUGGACAGGAUAGUCUCGUCAAGACUUGGCUGUUUACUCAGCUUUAUGGAACAGAAGGCCAGACGCAUCCAUCAGCAGCUAUUCUGACAGACAUGUAGACCCUUCUCCGGAUAUCCAAAUAAAAGGUGCAACUUA